This 221-nucleotide ribosomal RNA is filed under the name uncultured bacterium. RNAcentral describes it as "partial 16S ribosomal RNA". It matches the Rfam family "Bacterial small subunit ribosomal RNA", at positions 118 to 351 of the family's 1533-position model. The record is from RNAcentral.
UGGAUCAUCUACCUCUUAGUGGGGAAUAAACCCCUGGGAAACCGGGGAUAAUACCGCAUAAGUCCUUCGGGAGAAAGCAGCAAUGCGCUGAGAGAGGAGUCCGCGGCCGAUUAGCUAGUUGGCAGGGUAAAAGCCUACCAAGGCAUCGAUCGGUAGCCGGCCUGAGAGGGCACACGGCCACACUGGCACUGAAACACGGGCCAGACUCCUACGGGAGGCAG